CAAUAGCGUAUAUUAACGUUGUUGCAGUUAAAAAGCUCGUAGUUGGAUCUCUGGAGGGAGCGUCGGCCCGUAUUUACGAGUGCGUGACGUCUCUGUCCAUCCUUGCGGGAAGGCACGGCAUUGAUUUGUUGUGUCGGAUCGCAUCAUUUACUGUGAAAAAAUUAGAGUGUUCAAAGCAGGCUUUCGCUUGAAUACAUUAGCAUGGAAUAAUAAGAUAGGACUUUGGUGCUAUUUUGUUGGUUGAGCCUAAAGUAAUGAUUAAUAGGGAUAGUUGGGGGCACCUGUAUUGCGUUGUCAGAGGUGAAAUUCUUGGAUUUACGCAAGACAAACAGCUGCGAAAGCGUCUGCCAAGGAUGUUUUCAUUGA
RNAcentral lists this ribosomal RNA (366 nucleotides) under uncultured eukaryote. RNAcentral describes it as "partial 18S ribosomal RNA". It matches the Rfam family "Eukaryotic small subunit ribosomal RNA", at positions 592 to 976 of the family's 1831-position model. The record is from RNAcentral.